GGGACGUCUCCAGCAGAGAAGGGAAAGAAAAAACAUAUUAAAAAUUGAAAAACUCAGCAGCUCCGUUCCGCCGGCCCUCCACCAUUGGUUUCUCUCUCAUCUCUUCCCCCACUCUACUUCUUUCUUUUCUCUGGUGAACUUGGACCAUUGCCGACAGCACCCACCAGUGUCCUUCGGCGAUAUCCAAGGUCUCCCCAAUGGCAGUGCACAGCGACAGGAGGCAGGGAGAGAGAGAGGAAAAAGAGAGAAAAUUUUCUCCAUCCAAAAUUCGGCCGUUCUGACCAUGGUCCGAUAACACCAUCAGCCCCAAUCAACUCCCCUCCACCUGGUGAAGCUUUUUCAACCAACCUCAUCGCCGGCAGCCAUCAGAUUCAUACAAAAUGAGAAGAGAGAAAAUAAAUAUUUUUUAAGUUUUUCGAUCACUUUUUUAGCGAUCCAACCAUCUGAUUGAAAAUCCAAAAUGACUGAUGAACUCAGCGCGAUGAAACAUAUAAAAUGGGACUAACCCCG
RNAcentral lists this unclassified non-coding RNA (510 nucleotides) under Hevea brasiliensis (rubber tree). The record is from RNAcentral. Lineage: Eukaryota; Viridiplantae; Streptophyta; Magnoliopsida; Malpighiales; Euphorbiaceae.